This 151-nucleotide ribosomal RNA is filed under the name Dunaliella salina. RNAcentral describes it as "small subunit ribosomal RNA". The record is from RNAcentral. Lineage: Eukaryota; Viridiplantae; Chlorophyta; Chlorophyceae; Chlamydomonadales; Dunaliellaceae.
AUUCUUUUUUAAAAAGAAUAGGGCGCGGAGCGCGAGGCGCCCCACAUAGAAAAAACAUGAGGGUUUGAUUCAAUGCUCCGUAAGCAUGCGACAAUAAACGGACAGACACAUGCAAGGUCUAUAAAAUGACCGUAAAGGUGAGUAAUAACGC